Long non-coding RNA from Oreochromis aureus, 2542 nucleotides. RefSeq lists it as uncharacterized. The transcript has 10 exons. Lineage: Eukaryota; Metazoa; Chordata; Actinopteri; Cichliformes; Cichlidae. The record is from RefSeq and is a predicted model, not a curated record.
CCCUGUGCAUAGCUGCACGGAAUCUGAACAGCAAUGGCACAAGCCACGGACAGUGGGUGUGAAGCCAGGACCCAUCAACUCCAUGAUCUUCACUAAGCCGGUACCAAAUACGAUGGCCCAGACUGGAGUACGAAAACAAAGGAGGAUACUGUGGGUGUUGAAGAGGAGAAGGCCCCACUGAAAAAAUGGAGGAUCACUAACAGGAGCGUGGGAAGACUCCAGAAUCCACUCUGGCUGGAAUCCGGUGGAUACAGCAGUGUUACAGAACAGUUCGCCACAGUCGCUGUCCACAUGGGUCAGUGGGACCAAGCAGCACUGUGCUAAUGUGGGACUCUGACCAGCAACAUCCAGCAAGACCCAAGCAGCGUUUUCUAUCUCCCAGCUGGAGUUUUUUUGUUUGUGACGGGAGAGUCAGAUUUUUGUUGAGGCUGGAGGAACAGCCUCACAGUUGCAGAGGUUAAUACACUCUACUGAUCCCUGAUGGGAGAAUCAUCACCUCUGCCAACAAAGAAGCCUGGUGGAUAUUUGUUUGCAGUCUGAUGAUGGGACAUCAUGCUCUGCAUCUUCAAAGUUUGUCUCUUGAUUAUUAUUCAUACACAGUAAUGUGAAUUAUGCUUAUAUCUAGCCUCUUAAGCCCCACGCCCCCGGUACCGGGGGCAAAAGGGAGGAGAUCACGUUUAAUCGGUUAUAACGCCGGUUGAGAAAUAUAACUCCAGACAUGUGUGGUAUCCACAGAAACCUCAGAAUCUCAGCUACAAUGUCAUAUAAACCAUUUCUACAACCACCAAACACACCGCAAACAAGCCGCGAUUAAACGAGCAGUUACGUAAAUGCGCAGAAGUCCGCUAACACGCAAACGAGAACCAGACAUUCUUCAGACUUCAUGUAACCGGUUAUAAAUAGGCUGGCUAGCUUCCAGGGCUAUCACUGCGUAAACACACAAAGUUUGACCACGAUCGGACUAAAAUUCACCGAAUUAGCUGCAAAAGAAGAAAAAAAUUAGGCGAGAAUAAAAUCUACUUCCUUUUUCUGUGUUCCAGUCUCAGUAACUUUGACACAGUAAUAUCCGCUUUAAUAUUUACACCUCUGAUUAAAUGUCCCAAGUGUUAGCUUCAUUUUGAUACCAAGAUUGUAAGGACGGAGUUUGUAAUUGCAGAGAAAUAAUCAAUUUAAUUGAGGCAUUGCAUUUUCGAGCAGGAAGCUCAGAAAACCCCUUGGGGCUCAAGAGGCUAGUAUAACUGGACCAACCUGGUGCUCUUCAUUUAUGGAGGCUGUUGAGUCUGAAUGUUGGAUGUUGUGUAUCUCGUGUUCUCUGGGCUUUGUUGUCCUCAGUCUUUUUGCAGGAUCAGAAAACAAAACCAGGAGGCGCGUAAAUGUUUCUUCUCCAGUUGGAUGAUGAUAAGACUGUGACAUGGGAUGCCACCUUUAGUCUUGUGAUGAAGCAAAGCUCAGGAAGAAGUGUGAUUCAAUUGUACCCACAUGUGUGCUGCUGAGAAGGAUGUACAGGGGCACCUGCAGCCAAAUCCAAGCCUCCUCAGCAACUUCAGGUCUGUCAGCGUGCUGAGGUCACAGAAACAAGAAAAGCAGCUUCAGACUUCAGAGUGUUGUUUACAGUUUUCUGACAUCAUGAUCUCCCCUGAAGUUUAUCACUAUUAGGCAAGCAAGCAGAGCGGCAGUUUGUGCUCACAGAUGGUGACGGUGUGGAGAGACGGUGGUGUUUCCUCAGAAGAACUAGCAGAGUCACAAAGGGCACGAGUCCAUCUCACCACCUUGACUUGUUGAUCAGUGGAUACACUUGUCUCCCCUUUAAAGGAGAUACUCUUAGAGAGAGACGAUCCGAGUCAUCCUUAAAUAUGGGCAGGAUAUCACUAUUAGACUGUCUAACCUGCAGGAGCAGCACUGAAUGAUCACCACACAUGAUCAGUUCCUGCAACAUUCAGCAGCUUUGCUUUUGUGUCAAAUGUCCAACAGCUGGAGAGGAAACUACACCAGUGUACUGGGAUGUUUCACCAACACGUGCCAGACGCUGUUCCUUCAUGGUGACAUCACCAGAGACGGCCCCGCCCACCUCAUGACCUCGCCAUUGAUCGUGAUGAUUUUAAUGAUGACAGCGAGCGGAACUAAGACUGUAAAAAUCAGAAUGUUUAGAUGCUUUCUAAUUAUUAAUGAAUACUGAGAGCCUCUUUCUGUGUUUUGUCUGUUUUUUUUGUUUGUUUUUUUUUUAACCUCAUUUGUUACUAACAAAGUUCACCAAACUCACACAGUUUACAGUCUGUGUUUCCAUCUUUACCAGCCACACUCUACCCGCAAUUAAGAAAAUAAUCCUUAGAAAUUGUCGUUUUUCUCUUUUGUAAUUUUGUAAUUCAGUGAAUAUACUGCGCUGCUUCCUUUAAUUGCGUCUCACAUUGCUUUAAGUUUUUCCAGUGUCCAGUUAUUUUUUACUGCUGUUUGAAUUCUGUGUAUGUUUGACCCUGUAGACUGUUUGAUGGACUGCUUGUCUUCCUGUUUGUAACCGACGCCUGUUUUUGACUAAAGAUUUGGA